GACGGGGGAUGCAAGCGUUAUCCGGAAUGAUUGGGCGUAAAGGGUCCGCAGGUGGCCCGGUCAGUCCGCUGUCAAAGCCUGGGGGCUCAACCCUGGAGAGGCGGCGGAGACCACCGGGCUUGAGUCCGGUAGGGGCAGAGGGAAUUCCCGGUGGAGCGGUGAAAUGCGUAGAUAUUGGAAAGACCACCGAUGGCGAAGGCACUCUACUGGGCCACUACUGACACUGAGAGACGAAAGCUAGGGGAGCAAAUGGG
RNAcentral lists this ribosomal RNA (254 nucleotides) under uncultured bacterium. RNAcentral's name for it is "partial 16S ribosomal RNA". It matches the Rfam family "Bacterial small subunit ribosomal RNA", at positions 524 to 776 of the family's 1533-position model. The record is from RNAcentral.